Long non-coding RNA from Gallus gallus (chicken), 476 nucleotides. RefSeq lists it as uncharacterized. NCBI's taxonomy places the organism in Eukaryota, Metazoa, Chordata, Aves, Galliformes, Phasianidae. The transcript has 2 exons. The record is from RefSeq and is a predicted model, not a curated record.
GCCAUUUUGCCGCUCAUCAUAUUGGUGUCACCUCGGUAUUUGGCCAAGCCGCAGGCUCCCCUAAGCAACGAACAUCACGGUUGCCUGCGAAAGGCAACAAGUGGUGACCCCCGACGUGAUGCUUAGGGGAAUGAGUCGGCUGUCUGCUUGACGGGGCAGGAGCCCACCGCGGAGCGUUAGCACUUGCUGGGCGGUGGAAGCCGGGGGACAAGCCCGGGGACAGAGGGAAUCUGCAGUCACCCCUCUGUCGGUGGAGGUCGCGGACGAGCGACAGAUAUACCCUCCGGAAUCACGCCGGAGAAGAGCCUGGGAUCCUGGUCUCAAUCGGGAGGAGGAUCGGGGGCGUCAUGGAAGCCGUCAUAAAGGUCCGGCUGGAGAUAAGGUGGCGCCAGCCCCUACAACCCAUCCUGCCACGAUAGCUCCGGGAACAAAGAAGGACGAAGUUGCAUCGAAUUGUUCAAGCGUGGAGGCCACAA